AAGCCAGACUCCUACGGGAGGCAGCAGUGGGGAAUAUUGCACAAUGGGGGAAACCCUGAUGCAGCGACGCCGCGUGAGCGAUGAAGUAUUUCGGUAUGUAAAGCUCUAUCAGCAGGGAAGAAAAUGACGGUACCUGACUAAGAAGCCCCGGCUAACUACGUGCCAGCAGCCGCGGUAAUACGUAGGGGGCAAGCGUUAUCCGGAUUUACUGGGUGUAAAGGGAGCGUAGACGGCGGUGCAAGCCAGAUGUGAAAGCCCGGGGCUCAACCCCGGGACUGCAUUUGGAACUGUGCUGCUAGAGUGUCGGAGAGGCAGGCGGAAUUCCUGGUGUAGCGGUGAAAUGCGUAGAUAUCAGGAGGAACACCGGUGGCGAAGGCGGCCUGCUGGACUGCGACUGACGUUGAGGCCCGAAAGCGUGGGGAGCAAACAGGAUUAGAUACCCCAGUAA
Molecule: ribosomal RNA, 448 nt
Filed under: uncultured bacterium
Lineage: Bacteria
Description: partial 16S ribosomal RNA
Rfam family: Bacterial small subunit ribosomal RNA
Source: RNAcentral